GGGCGCUGUGGUAGAUACAGUGAGGGGGAGGCGGAUGCCAGAGCCGUUCCACAGCGGGCCAUGGAGAGCUCACUUCAUCGGAUGCAGGCAGUGGAAAAUACAGUGGGGAGAUUUAUAUACACAGAGAACAUGAAACAAUGGGUGUUACCAUACACACUGUAACAAGAGUGAUCAGAGACUGUCCAGUUUGGCCAAUGUACAUGGCAGAGGGGCACUGCUGGCACAUGAUGGCAUAUAUCACAUUGGUCGAUGUGCAGGUGAACGAGCCUCUGAUAGUGCGGCUGAUGUGAUUAGGCCCUAUGAUGGUGUCCCCUGAACUCACUACCUACUACAGGACAGGCCCAACAAAGAAAAUAACAGAACGCCACUAGCCAUCACCUUCAGCCCCCAACUAAAACAUCUCCAGCGCAUCAUCAAGGAUCUACAACCUAUCCUGAAGGACGAUCCCUCACUCUCACAGAUCUUGGGAGUCAGGCCAGUCCUUGCUUACAGACAGCCCCCCAACCUGAAGCAAAUACUCACCAGCAACCACACAACAAAACCACUAACCCAGGAACCUAUCCUUGCAACAAAGCCCGUUGCCAACUGUGUCCACAUAUCUAUUCAGGGGACACCAUCAUAGGGAUACAGACUAACAUGGCUGCUACUCUGAUUCUUGUUUACAAUGUCACCUGAAAGUGAGAAUAGGCGUUCUCAUUGCACUAUUGUAGCCAGCGUCACAAGAUAUUUUCAUGCCAGAUGCGCUAAAUAUUCAUAUGUCCCUUCAUGCUUCAACCACCAUUCAUGCUGUUGACGGGUUCUGCUUGAUAACAAUAUAAAGCGAUGCGGACUGAUACAUGUUCAUUUUCAUGAUCUGAGUCAGAUGCCACCAGCAGAAGGUUAAUUUUCUUUUUGGUGGUUCAGGUUCUGUAGUUUUCACAUCAGAGUGUUGCUUUUUUAAGACUUCUGAAAGAAUGCUCCACACCUCGUCUCUCAGAUUUUUGGAAGGCAUUUCAGAUUUUUAAACCUUGGGUUGAGUGCUGUAGCUAUGUUUAGAAAUCUCACGUUGGUACCUUCUUUGCGUUUUUGUCAAAUCUGCUGUGAAAGUGUUCUUAAAAUGAACAACAUGUGCUGGGUCAUCAUCUGAGACUGCUAUAACAUGAAAUAUAUGCCAGAAUGCAGGUAAAACAGAGCAGGGGACAUACAAUUCUCCCCUAAGGAGUUCAGUGACAAAUUUAAUUAACAUAUUUUUUUUUAAAUGAGCAUCAUCAGCAGGGAGGCAUGUCCUCUGGAAUGGUGGCUGAAGCAUGAAUGGGCAUAUGAAUGUUUAGCAUAUCUGGCACAUAAAUACCUUGCAAUGCUGGCUACAAAAGUGCCAUGCAAAUGCCUGUUCUCCCUUUCUGGUGACAUUAUAAAUAAGAGGGCAGCAUUAUCUCCUGUAAAUGUAAACAAACUUGUUUGUCUUAGUGAUUUGCUGAACAAGAAGUAGGACUGGUGGACUUGUAGGCUCUAAAGUUUUGCAUUGUUUUGUUUUUGAGUGCAGUUAUGUAAUAAAAAAAUCAUCUACAUUUGUAAAUUGCACUUUCACAACAAAGAGAUUAUACUACAGUACUUGUAUGGGGUGAAUUGAAAAAUACUAUUUCUUUUUAUCAUUUUAACAGUGCAAAUAUUUGUAAUAAAAAUAAUAUACACUUUGAUUUCAAUUACAACACAGAAUACAGUAUAUAUGAAAAUGUAGAAAAACAUCCAAAAUAUUUAAUAAAUUGCUAUUGGUAUUCUAUUGUUCAACAGUGCGAUUAAAACUGAUCAGUCAAGAUUAAUUUUUUUUCGGUUAAUCAUGUGAGUUAACUGCAAUUAAUUGACAGUUGAAAAUAUUAGUUGAAAAUAUUAAUAGUUGUUAGUAGCUUUAGCAGUCAUGUCUCACAGUAUUUCUAGUAUAGCGCUUCCUGUUUGUAUUGCCAUAUUAAUUUUUAAUGCUAAGUGCUUGUUUUUAUCUUACCCACUAUUCUGUGGGAACAUAUGACUUCAAGGUGGACUGAUUUUCAUCAUCCUGCAAAUACUGAAUCCAUCAUCCUGUAAUCCAUCAUCCUGCAAAUACUGAAGUUCACACUUUCCUCUUCUAUUAAUUCGUUGCAUACACAGAUGUUGAUUUUUGUACUGAAUUGUUUGUACAUCUAAUUGCAUAUUUUAAUUUCAUAGCCUUUUAUGUAUGCUAUAUAUUUUGUUAUGGCACAUUUCAGUGAUGUUCUUCAUUCUGACAAAUUUAUUGUUCUUUACUGCUAAAGUCAAGGAUUUUUUUUUUUUAAUGAAUAUACUAUUACCCCUUUGCAUUGGUUGUGGGGUGGGCAUAGUGAUGAUAUCACUUAACAUCUUCAAGUAAUGUCCCUGUGGGUGGUCCACUUUAGUUGUCGGUGUGUCCCUGUGCUAUUGAUGGGAGAAUUUCAGCAGCAGACCUUACCCCCACUAUUCCUUCUUAACCGUCCUCGGCCAGAGAUGGAGCAUGGAGUUCCCAGCGGUGCCCCGACUCAAGCUCAUUUUAGGUUUAAAAGUAGUUAGAAAUAGUUAAAAACAGUUCAUAGUUAUUUAGUUACUUUUCUCCUUCUUCUGUUCUAGUUAAAAAAAAAUUCUUUCUGAGAGACUGUUAGGGUCUAUACCUGGGGCUAACUGUCCCUUUUUCAACUAUGCCUGGUUCACCAGGAUUUAAACGCUGUAUCCUAUGCCAGGAUGCUAUCCACGUGUCAGGUAGCCAUUCAUACUGUGUCCGCUGCCUUGGUGAGUCGCACAUUCCCCAAAAGUGCGCUCACUGCAGUAACCUGUAGGCUAGGCGAGACAGAGAUCUGUGCCUCAAGCUCAUUCUUAUGGAAUAAUCUCUCUGCCUGGCCUUUGACCCCAGGCAGCAAACCCCCUCUGGACGAAGAUCCCUGGAGACUUCACCCUCUGCUCAGAGGAAGGCUCACUCCUCAAAAAAAUCAUUGAGGAAAUAAGUGACAACUUCUCAGAGAGAGCUGACCAAAAAUAAAUGUUUCCCAGCCAGGUCGCUCUCCUUAGUACUGACUGCACUGUGGCUAAGUACCUUUGAUGCAUCAGGAUCCUCUGGCACCACGCAUAGCCUCUCCAUCCUCCAGUGAGGAAGAGGAUGAUGAGGAAGAGGGCAUCUUCUCCUCACACCACUCUUCACCUAUCCGAACAAUGCCAACCUCUGGAACCCUAAGAUCAAGGUCCCAAUAUUGACAGUGGUAUGGGCAUCUAUGGAUGGGCCCACUCAUAACUUUCCCCAUGCAAUGGCCUCACUGGGACCCUUGGGCCGCCUAUAGAAGACAUUAUAGCAGACCACCCAGUCCCUAUAGGGUGAGGAUUAGAUUGCCUCCACCUUCGGUGCCAGCUAUGUCAGAACCCCCAGAGGAAACAGUGGUAGACAGGGAGGAGACGAUAGAGUAGGACACCACACCACCUACUCAUAACUCCUCGUCCUCACCAGAUGAGGCCAUAAUGCCCCCACCUCCUAUGACUGCUGAUGAUUUCAAGCAAUUUCAGAAACUAUUCAAAUGGGUAGUGGAAGGUCUGAAACCCAACCCAAACUCCUGGAGAUUCUCCAAACUUCGUUCACUUCAAAAUUAGCACUGCCUAUCAAUGAUGCGCUAAUGGAACCAGCCAAAAAUAUGUGGAAAACCCUGGCAACCAUUCUGCCCACAGGCAAGAGGACUGAUACAAAAUGUUACAUACCCUCUAUGGGCAUGGACUUUCUUUUUUCCAACUCUCUGCCAAACUGUCUUGUGGUGGAGGCUGUAAAUCAACAUGGGAAACAACUUCAAUGUAAGUCUACUCCCCAGGACAAGGAACAGAAGAGACUUGACUUUUUUUGGCUGCAAAGUUUACUUGUCGGCAACCUUGCAAUUUUGAGUGGCCAACUACGUGGCACUAUUGACAAAGUAUGACUAUGACAAUUCCAUUAAGACAAUUAAAUUUAUUAAUGACAUCCCAGAGGACAAAAGGGACCAAUUCAGAUCCCUGGUGAAUGAAGGUCAACUAGUUGCCAGAACUGUGCUCCAAGCAUCCCUAGAUGUGGUGGACACAGUCGCAAGAUCUACAGCCACUGCAAUUGUCAUCCACAGGGCAUCCUGGCACCACUCCGCGGGCCACUCAAAGCAGUUACAGUCCACGGUGGAGGAUCUCCCCUUUGACAGAGAGAAACACUUUGCUGCAAAGAUGGACAAGGUCCUCCACACCAUGAAGGACUCACAAGCGACCCUCAGCACGCUGGGCAUUUACACACCUGCAACGAAGAGGAGACAACACAGAUCUCAACCAUACCAACGUAACAGAUAUAACCAAUUUGCCCAGUAAUGACAGUACGAGUCACAAUGCCAGAGACAAAGACAUCAGAGACGACCACCACCUCAGCCACAAUCCUCAACAUCGCAAUUGUCAUCCGCGAAACAACAGUUUUGAGGGUUUGGUGGAGGGUCUAAACAACCUCCCCUACCCGACAGUGCUGACAACACCUACCACAUCCCACUUUGGCCUCCGUUUAUGCCCCUUCUACCUGGUGUGGGCGUCCAUCUCUAGACAAGUGGGUCUUAGAGAUUAUGCGUUCUGGCUACUCCAUCCCAUUUACUUCCAUUCCCUCCCACCCAAGCCCCCUCCCUGUCUCUCUUCAGGGACCCUUCUCACAAGCACCUUCUACAACAAGAAGUAAACCACCUUCGAGAUCUAGGUGCCCUGGGACAAGUUCCUCCACAAAACAGGAGGAAGGAUUUCUACUCCCACUACCUUUUAACCCAGAAGAAAAAUGGAGUAUGGAGACCCACUGUAGAUCUCAGAAAGCUCAACAAGUUUGUGAGGGUCCAAUGAUUCAGGAUGGUCACACUGGCAAAGAUAAUACCAACACUGAAAUGGGGGGACUGGUUUUCAGUCCUCGACCUUCAAGAUGCCUACUUCCACGUAAGAAUUUAUCCCACUCCCAGGAGGUUUCUCAGAUUUACCCUGGGAACGGAUCAUUAUCAGUACAGGGUCCUACCUUUUGGUCUUUCCACAACAUUGUGAGUAUUCUCCAACAUUCUCGCAGUAGUGGUGGCACAUUUCCACAAACAAGGGGUAAUAAUAUUCCCCUACCUGGAUGAUUGUUUACUAAAAGGCCAUACUUGGGCAGAGUCAUUUGAUAUCACUCAACGGACAAUCAUUCUCUUUCUGAAUCUAGGAAUACAGAUAAACAAAAAUCAACCCUAAUUCCUGUACAACAAUUGGACUUCAUUUGGGCCCACCUUGACUCUACAGAAGCCAAAGCAUCAAUACCAACAAAGAGAUUUUUGACCAUAACCAGCCUCAUCUCUUCAGUGAUGAAUAGUCCACCUAUCAGCACGUACCUGCCUCCAACUAUGAGGUUGUUGGAGACCCCAGGGCAUGGCCACUAGUUAAGUCGAGGGGAUGGAAGGCCAUAAGGGUCGAGGAAGUCUCCCUGCUGAAAGCCUAAGGGCUUCUUGUCAACCCCCCUUAAUAGAACUCAGGCCUGGCUGGUUUGAGUAAGCUCUUUUGCUCUUAAAACAAUGUUGCAGUUGUAGAUAAUGCCUCAUAGUGUAAGGUUUGCUGACGCCAAGUUAAAGAUAACAGGAGAGACAGCUACAAGGCCAGACAGGAUGUGCUGGUUGUUUAAGUUGCUAGGAAUGCUUGUUAGAGGUUGCAGGAAAUAAACAUUGUUGUAACCCAUAUAAGGAAGGCAGAGUAUUUGUGCAAAGCUUUGAUUGGCCGAUGUGUAGUGCAGUAGCAUUAAGGAAUAUACAAGUGUGUGUAAUGACCUGCUCUGGUGUGCAGGAUUUGAGAUUUCUCUCCCUGUACCUUUCUUUGGAAUUCCAAAUAAACUUUUCUGCUUCUCCA
Molecule: non-coding RNA, 5850 nt
Organism: Caretta caretta (loggerhead turtle)
Lineage: Eukaryota; Metazoa; Chordata; Testudines; Cheloniidae
Source: RefSeq, a predicted model, not a curated record